UUGAAUGAAAGAGCUCAAGGCACAUAAGGCUGAAUCCAACGAUUAACAGCAUGAUGUAUAACACCUCAGAUACUACUGACAGCCACAGGACACCUGCAAAGUGCAAGAGUGCAACCAGUUACUUAUGUGAUCACUAAAUUGAUGUUUUCAUAGAACUGUCUGUCACCACUCCAAGAACUCUAUCCUGAGGGGUAAAAGCUAAUUCAGAACCCAUCACUAUAUUUGUAAAGUACAAUGCCUGUACCUCACCAGAGGAUGGCCAAAACUCCUGGAGACAGGAAGUACUGCCACGUGCACAGAUGUCUCAGUACUCAGCGUCCCUCUCGAGUUACUCUGACAGAUUUGCUCACAGCUUGUGAGCAAAUGUUUAUAUGCCAGUGUGACGAAAAUAUUUCUGGCUGCAGA
Long non-coding RNA from Oxyura jamaicensis (ruddy duck), 405 nucleotides. RefSeq lists it as uncharacterized. The transcript is spliced from 3 exons. Lineage: Eukaryota; Metazoa; Chordata; Aves; Anseriformes; Anatidae. The record is from RefSeq and is a predicted model, not a curated record.